RNAcentral lists this RNase P RNA (361 nucleotides) under Parachlamydiaceae bacterium. Its description in RNAcentral is "RNase P RNA component class A". It matches the Rfam family "Bacterial RNase P class A". From Rfam's summary of the family: Ribonuclease P (RNase P) is a ubiquitous endoribonuclease, found in archaea, bacteria and eukarya as well as chloroplasts and mitochondria. Its best characterised activity is the generation of mature 5'-ends of tRNAs by cleaving the 5'-leader elements of precursor-tRNAs. Cellular RNase Ps are ribonucleoproteins. Lineage: Bacteria; Pseudomonadati; Chlamydiota; Chlamydiia; Parachlamydiales; Parachlamydiaceae. The record is from RNAcentral.
UGGGAAGACAAAGCAAUCGCUUCUCUCGUAAGAGAGAAGAGGAAAGUCCGGACUUCAUAGGAGAGGAUACCAGUGAAAUACUGGGGGCCGUAAGGCUACGGAAAGUGUAACAGAAAAUAUACCGCUACCAAGUUUACUUGGUGGUAUGGGUGAAAUGCUGAGCCUCAAAACUUAGCCCUAUUUGAGGUAACUCAAAAGGUGACAAACCCUAUCCGAAGCAAGGCUAAAUUGGGGCAAUUCUGUUCUCCACAGAGCUCCAUAGAUGUCGCUUGAGGAUGCUGGUGACAGCAUCCCUAGAUGAAUGAUUGCUCGUCAAUUGCAAAAUUGGCCGACAGAAUCCGGCUUAUCGUCUUCCCAGAUU